UUCGUCCUCGUCCAGGGGUUGCAAGCCGGUCAAUGAGCGUUAUGUGAGGCUGGCUUUGCCGACACCCUAACAACAAUUUAGCGAGUGCACUACUUCUUGUGCUCGCAAUUUUUGGAGCC
This is a small nuclear RNA of Galendromus occidentalis (western predatory mite), 119 nucleotides long. RefSeq annotates it as U4atac minor spliceosomal RNA. The transcript has a single exon. The record is from RefSeq and is a predicted model, not a curated record. Lineage: Eukaryota; Metazoa; Arthropoda; Arachnida; Mesostigmata; Phytoseiidae.